UGAACGCUGGCGGCAGGCCUAACACAUGCAAGUCGAACGGUAACAGGAAGCAGCUUGCUGCUUUGCUGACGAGUGGCGGACGGGUGAGUAAUGUCUGGGAAACUGCCUGAUGUAGGGGGAUAACUACUGGAAACGGUAGCUAAUACCGCAUAACGUCGCAAGACCAAAGAGGGGGACCUUCGGGCCUCUUGCCAUCGGAUGUGCCCAGAUGGGAUUAGCUUGUUGGUGGGGUAACGGCUCACCAAGGCGACGAUCCCUAGCUGGUCUGAGAGGAUGACCAGCCACACUGGAACUGAGACACGGUCCAGACUCCUACGGGAGGCAGCAGUGGGGAAUAUUGCACAAUGGGCGCAAGCCUGAUGCAGCCAUGCCGCGUGUAUGAAGAAGGCCUUCGGGUUGUAAAGUACUUUCAGCGGGGAGGAAGGGAGUAAAGUUAAUACCUUUACUCAUUGACGUUACCCGCAGAAGAAGCACCGGCUAACUCCGUG
This 488-nucleotide ribosomal RNA is filed under the name uncultured bacterium. Its description in RNAcentral is "partial 16S ribosomal RNA". It matches the Rfam family "Bacterial small subunit ribosomal RNA", at positions 30 to 507 of the family's 1533-position model. The record is from RNAcentral.